GCUGGGCGCGGUGGUGCAUGCCUAUAGUCCCAGCUACUCAGGAGGCUGAAGCUGGAGUAUCACUUGAGUCCAGGAGUUCUGGGCUGUAGUGCACUAUGCCAAUCCAGUGUCCCCACUAAGUUCAGCAUCAAUAUGGUGACCUCCCAGGAGCAGGGGACCACCAGGUUGCCUAAAGAGGGGUGAACCAGCCCAGGUCAGAAACGGAGCAGAUCAAAACUCCCGUGCCGAUCAGUAGUGGGAUUGCACCUGUGAAUAGCCACUGCACUCCAGCCUGGGCAAUAUAGAGAGACCCCAUCUCU
Molecule: signal recognition particle RNA, 299 nt
Filed under: Saimiri boliviensis boliviensis (Bolivian squirrel monkey)
Lineage: Eukaryota; Metazoa; Chordata; Mammalia; Primates; Cebidae
Description: Metazoan signal recognition particle RNA (ENSSBOG00000013701.1)
Rfam family: Metazoan signal recognition particle RNA
About the family: The signal recognition particle (SRP) is a universally conserved ribonucleoprotein. It is involved in the co-translational targeting of proteins to membranes.
Source: RNAcentral